Molecule: long non-coding RNA, 1066 nt
Organism: Amphiprion ocellaris (clown anemonefish)
Lineage: Eukaryota; Metazoa; Chordata; Actinopteri; Pomacentridae
Exons: 4
Source: RefSeq, a predicted model, not a curated record
CCCACCUGCUCUGUCCUCCCCUCUCCUGCACUCUGGAUCCAGCCCUGACCAGACCUCCCCCCUGCCUCCCUCACCUUGGACCUCCUGCCUGCUCCUGGUGGAGGGUCUCUGCCUGCCGUGUGCCCCCUUUGGCUCCGGAAAACACCCCGCCUGUCGCCCCCCGAUGGAACGAGGCCCUCCUGCCCGCUCUCCACUGCCGAUCCACCCCACGGAGGACGCCAACCGGGCCGCCGGUUCCUGAUGAAACAGGAAGUACCGUCCAACUUGGUUGAUGAGUUACCAUCUCCCCGAUGAGCCCUGGAGUAUCUGAAACGUCUCAGCAGGAGCCCAGUGCCGUCCUGGCAGCAGCAGAAACUCUCUCUCUCUCUCUCUCUCUCUCAGGUUGGACAGCUUGUUCAAGUCGAAUGCUAUUAGUUGUGGGUCAGCGCCUGGGCUUUCUCUACACCCCAACAACACCUUUUCACCAGCCAGGGAUUCCAGCCACCAUUAAUCAGAGUGGUGACAGCCCAUGGAUCUGACGGGGGGAUGAGAGCUGGCCACCGUCGAGGCUGCUGUGAGCGUUCAGAGGGUGACGUGUCGGCAGAGGGCCAGUUGGAGAGGAGGGUGGCCGUCUCAGAUACCUGCUGGUGUCCAGAGACAGCUGUAACGUAGCCACCCGUGGUCCAGCAAUCAGGUUGGUGGCCGCUGAAUGCUGAUAAAGCCGCUUUUCUCGGCCUGGCAGACGGAGCUGAGGCAUUUCUCAAGAAGAUAAAGUCAGACCGGAGCCAGAGGAGUAAACAGGGAGCGGGAGGAGACACGACAAAGAGAAGCGAGAGGCCGAGAUGAGGAGAUAAACCGAGACAGAGAACAAAUGGUGACCUUUGCAGAGAUGGAUUUGUUUACCAACAAAUGUUCUGGCUGUCAACACCUGCUCCAGAGUGACCUUCACAUGGAGACGGAGCCGACGUCUCUCAUCUGUUCAUCUCUGCAGCCUCUCAUCAAGUCUGAUCAGCUCAGCCUGUUUCUGAGCUCCUUUAUUCUGCUGCAUUCAGUCAGGUUCCAGCUGUCAGCAUGGAGGCCCAAACCU